GCGCCGCUAGCGCAACGGACAGCGCGCCCAGCUUCUAACUGGGGACAGUCGGGGUUCGACUCCUCGGCGGCGUA
Molecule: transfer RNA, 74 nt
Filed under: Trebonia kvetii
Lineage: Bacteria; Bacillati; Actinomycetota; Actinomycetes; Streptosporangiales; Treboniaceae
Rfam family: tRNA
About the family: Transfer RNA (tRNA) molecules are approximately 80 nucleotides in length.
Source: Rfam by way of RNAcentral